This 107-nucleotide small nuclear RNA is filed under the name Meriones unguiculatus (Mongolian gerbil). Lineage: Eukaryota; Metazoa; Chordata; Mammalia; Rodentia; Muridae. The record is from RNAcentral.
CAUGACUUGGUUCAGUGGUGAGUAUACUAAAUUGGAACAAUACACAGAAGAUCAGCAUGGCUUUUUGUUAAGAAAACAAGAAAGUUCAUGGCGUGUUCCAGAUUUUA